CCCUACGGGGGUCAGCAGGCGCGAAAACUUUACACUGCGCGAAAGCGCGAUAGGGGACCUCGAGUGCGUGCGCAAUGGCGUACGCUUUUCAGAUGCCUAAAAAGCAUGUGGAAUAAGGGCCGGGCAAGACCGGUGCCAGCCGCCGCGGUAACACCGGCGGCUCAAGUGGUGGCCGCUAUUAUUGGGCUUAAAGGGUCCGUAGCCGGACCAGUUAGUCCCUUGGGAAAUCUUACGGCUUAACCGUAAGGCUGCCAAUGGAUACUGCUGGUCUUGGGACCGGGAGAGGUAAGAGGUACUUCAGGGGUAGGAGUG
RNAcentral lists this ribosomal RNA (312 nucleotides) under uncultured methanogenic archaeon. RNAcentral's name for it is "bacterial SSU rRNA". It matches the Rfam family "Archaeal small subunit ribosomal RNA", at positions 321 to 634 of the family's 1478-position model. Lineage: Archaea; Methanobacteriati; Methanobacteriota. The record is from RNAcentral.